Small nucleolar RNA from Cricetulus griseus (Chinese hamster), 132 nucleotides. Its record names the gene SNORA70. It matches the Rfam family "Small nucleolar RNA SNORA70". From Rfam's summary of the family: snoRNA U70 seems to be exclusive to mammals and is a member of the H/ACA class of snoRNA which contain H (ANANNA) and ACA box motifs. H/ACA box snoRNAs are involved in the conversion of uridines to pseudouridines (5-ribosyluracil) a constituent of structural RNAs (transfer, ribosomal, small nuclear, and small nucleolar). The record is from Ensembl. Lineage: Eukaryota; Metazoa; Chordata; Mammalia; Rodentia; Cricetidae.
CUGCAGUCAACUAAGCUGACCAGGUUCUUCUCCUCAUGGGGCCCUAUGUACAACAGUUUCAAGCAAUAGCCUCCUUGGGAGUAUGCAGCCUGUACCUAGUUUGGGUUGCCCUAAAGGGUCUUUGAAACAGAG